Molecule: non-coding RNA, 72 nt
Organism: Pseudophryne corroboree (corroboree frog)
Lineage: Eukaryota; Metazoa; Chordata; Amphibia; Anura; Myobatrachidae
Source: the annotation of a RefSeq genome assembly
GGGGAUGUGGCUCAGUGGUAGAGCGCAUGCUUUGCAUGUAAGAGGCCCUGGGUUCACUCCCCGGCAUCUCCA